This 78-nucleotide microRNA precursor is filed under the name Pleuronectes platessa (European plaice). RNAcentral's name for it is "mir-1 microRNA precursor family". It matches the Rfam family "mir-1 microRNA precursor family". From Rfam's summary of the family: This family represents the microRNA (miRNA) mir-1 family. miRNAs are transcribed as ~70nt precursors (modelled here) and subsequently processed by the Dicer enzyme to give a ~22nt product. In this case the mature sequence comes from the 3' arm of the precursor. The record is from Rfam by way of RNAcentral. RNAcentral also lists the same sequence under 2 other names. Lineage: Eukaryota; Metazoa; Chordata; Actinopteri; Pleuronectiformes; Pleuronectidae.
CCUUGGUGCACAUACUUCUUUAUGUACCCAUAUGAACAUAUGAUAGCUAUGGAAUGUAAAGAAGUAUGUAUUCCUGGU